Long non-coding RNA from Rattus rattus (black rat), 1314 nucleotides. RefSeq lists it as uncharacterized. The record is from RefSeq and is a predicted model, not a curated record. The transcript has 3 exons. NCBI's taxonomy places the organism in Eukaryota, Metazoa, Chordata, Mammalia, Rodentia, Muridae.
UAGCUCUAAUCAAGGUUCAAAGGCUAAAGGAAGCCAAGGACAAACCUUCUCUACAAGAUCUAAAAAAAAUAAACUAAAAAGCACGACUGAAGUCUCACACACUCAAAGGCGAUGCUCAUUAGGCUUGCACAAGUUGAACGCACCUGUCAUCUGGCUCCAGGUCAAGAAUUAGGAAAUGGGGCCAGCCGUGUGCAUGUCCCAGUAAUUACAGGUGACAAAGCAAAAUUAAAAUGUCUGAAUGGGUCGAUGGUGGAUUUUACUGAAACUUCAGGAUCUUUCUCAGUAAAACUGAAAUUAGACGUCCUGACCCUCCUGUUCAGUUUUUAACUCUCUUCCGCCCUGUCUCCUCCCAGCCUUCUUUGGUCACUUAAUUGAUAAGGGGCCUUUCUCAGUUUGCUCUGUGUGAUCGAUUCUUUUGCUAUCCCUUAGCUCAGAUUUCAGGUACAGGGCAGCCCUGACCAUAGGGUGGGCAGGGAAGGAGGAGGAAACCCAGAUUUUUCUGGCAGUCUGGCCUGAGGCAAGCUUCAGUGUGGUAAGCUGCUUUUGUUAGUGUCCUUACUGCUACCCAGGAGGUCUAUGUUUUCCUCUUCACAGAUCGUACUCUUUGCUGGAGCUUUGAGACUCCCAGGGUGGAUGUAGUUUAGGCAAAGGUGGCCCAGGAACCUAGAAGCCCAGUUCGUAGAUAACAAACGUCAGAAGACAUCCCUUGCGGUUACAGAUGACAGAGAGGAGGAGAAAGGGAGUCCCUAGCCACAGUUCCUGUUGGGCUUCCUUGUUUUCCCAUGGAGGGACCAUUACUUUUAGUAGCUCAGUUUUUAGCAAACACUGUGUCACUCCUGCCAGCUUUGUACUUAAGGUUUUACUUCCUUCUGAGGCCUUGGCAGACUCUGUAGCCUGAAGAAAGCUAGGGGCUUGCAGUCCUUGGUUUAUGCCUCAGCAUCCCAUGCAGCAACCGGCUUACAAACACAAAGGAGGAGUCUUCCUGGGAACUCCCUGUACAUUAGCUUUCUGUAUAGUGACAUGUGGGGAGUGAGGUAAACUGAAAAACCUGAGCCAAGGCCAAGCAUGGGACACAUUCCUGUAAUGCCAUCACUCCAGAGACCUGAGGCCAGGGCAUGGCUGUGAAUUGAGGCUGAGGACACAAUGAUUACCUGUCUUAAGAAGAAAAGGCCCCAAAGGAAACAACAAAAACACUAGUUUUGCUUUCUGUCCCUGGCUUUCAUACUUGUAAAUCAACUCCCAAAGACUCAGAAGAAUGAGAUUCCUUCACUCCCGUACCUGCCCUGCUAAGGAGCCCUAGUAACUGUCAUGUAG